RNAcentral lists this long non-coding RNA (4288 nucleotides) under Salmo salar (Atlantic salmon). RNAcentral describes it as "lncRNA (ENSSSAG00000089749.1)". Lineage: Eukaryota; Metazoa; Chordata; Actinopteri; Salmoniformes; Salmonidae. The record is from RNAcentral.
ACAUGCAUUGACUCAGGGGUUUGUGAAUACUUAUGUAAAUGUGAUAUUUCUGUAUUUAAUUUUUAAUAAAUUUGAUAACAUUUGUAAAGACAUGUUUUCACUUUGCCAUUGUAAGAUAUUGUGUGUCGAUGGGUGACAGAAAAAAAUAUUUAUUCAGGCUGUAACACUACAAAAUGUAGACUACGUCAACGGCUAUGAAUACUCUCUGAAGGCUCUGUAUUUCUAAACUCAUUAAAUCAUCAUUAUCGUCGUCAUGUCGUUAUAUCAUUAAAUACAAUACAUUCUUCAAAGUAACCAUGCGGUAAAUAUUGUAAGGAUUACUAAAGUACAAAUGUGUAUUAAAUUUACACUUAAUAUCAACUUCAUAAAUAAAAUGGUAAAUUUAGCUUGAUUUUGAAAAAAAAAGUGUUAAUUCAGUGGAUCAGAUAACGUCUAAAUUCAACAUUAAAUAAAUCAAUACAUUUCCCCACAUCAUAUGUCUUAUUCAUGCCUAGUUUAAAGGUCAACCACAGAGCCUAUUCUUUAAAAUAAAUAACCGAAGAUACAGUAUAACAGCGACUGAACCAAUACAGGUGAGUCAGCCAGGAGAAAAGACUGCAGUGAAACAGUACCAAGCAAACAACAAACAGCUACACUUCAAUAUAGUGUAAUGAUGAAUAAAUACGUUCAGAAAACUAUACAUUUACAGAGAGAUACUUCAGUACAGUAUUUCAAGAAAAAUACUUGUUUUGUUUACUUAAAAAAAAAAAAAAACGGUGUUUGUUUCAACCGUGUACCAGUGCUACAACAGUAGAGUAACGUCUCCUAAAUAAAAUAAGGCCACUGUAAACUGGACAAAGCCCUCAUUUUUUUACGAGAAUAUAAAUACACAUUUCCCCAUCAUCACCUUGCAGUCAUGGCUCCAUAACUCGUUCAUCUAAAAUUACUUUUCUCCCCUCAUUACAAAAAUAAAAUGGCAGUAUAAUACUCAUUAAAAGACAAUACAUUUGUAGUUGGUUUCAGACGUUAAUAAACCAGUCUCUCAGAACACUGAGAAAAGUUCUAGAACAUGUCUAAGUGAACAUUCUAGAAGAGAGCAAGCUCGUGGACGGUUACAUUUCAAGCAAAAAACAAAAACAAAACGAAACAAUGAAAUAAUCUCUAUAAAAAUGGCUCUUAUUUAACCACGAUAGGAGACAUCGUCAGUGUAUGAGGAUACAUUCACCACUUCACUGUGUAGUAUCUUAAAGCUGUGGCUAAACAGAUGCAGGAGAACAUAUCUGGCUCUUCAACAUUGACAAAGCAUAGCUGCGAAUAGUCAAUAUACCCAGUUCAUUCCACCUCCCUGCUCAGGUGCAUCAACAUUCCGUCACAUGCCAGCCACGCAAGAAAAUACAAGCAAACUACCUGUAAUUCCAUCCACUUUUUCCCCUUUCUGAUUGUCAGCCUCUCUUCUAUGUCUCUCACACACUUACAAACAUGCUUGUGAAGAUUCCCCUGGGUACAGAUCUAGGAUAAGCUUCCCAUCCCCUAAACCUAACCUUAACCAUUAGUGGGGGGAAAUGCAAAACUGAACCAAGAUCAGUGUCUAGGGGAAACUUCACCCUACUCCCCAUCAAUCCAUCUAGGGGGUGUGCUAGGGUCAUCCUUCUGACGAGGACUCAGCGUCAUGACCUCACCCAGCUCAACUCACUCACAAAGGCCAUCAUCCCCUUUCAGCAGAGCUGCUCGACCUGAUACAUAAAACUCUUUCCUUUAACAGUCCUGUUGCUUUACUUUAUAGUCCUGUAGUUUUACUUUACAGUCCUGUAGUUUUACUUUACAUCCUGUUUGCUUUACUUUACAGUCCUGUAGUUUUACUUUACAGUCCUGUUGCUUUACUUUACAGGCCUGUAGUUUUACUUUACAGUCCUGUAGUUUUACUUUACAGUCCUGUUGCUUUACUUUACAGUCCUGUAGUUUUACUUUACAGUCCUGUAGUUUUACUUUACAGUCCUGUUGCUUUACUUUACAGUCCUGUAGUUUUACUUUACAGUCCUGUUGCUUUACUUUACAGGCCUGUAGUUUUACUUUACAGUCCUGUAGUUUUACUUUACAGUCCUGUUGCUUUACUGUACAGUCCUGUAGUUUUACUUUACAGUCCUGUUGCUUAACUUAACAGUCCUGUUGCUUUACUUUACAGUCCUGUUGCUUCCCUUUACAAUCCUGUUGUUUCACCUAACAGUUCUGUUGCUUUGCCUUAGAGUCCUGUUGCUUCAUUUUACAAUCCUGUUGCUUUACUUUACAGUCCUGUUGCUUUACUUUACGGUCCUGUUGCUUAACUUAACAGUCAUGUUGCUUAACUUUACAGUCCUGUUGCUUUACUUUACAGUCCUGUAGUUUUACUUUACAGUCCUGUUGCUUUACUUUACAGUCCUGUUGCUUAACUUAACAGUCAUGUUGCUUAACUUUACAGUCCUGUUGCUUUACUUUACAGUCCUGUAGUUUUACUUUACAGUUAUGUUGCUUUACUUUACAGUCUUGUUUCUUCACUUUACAGUCCUGUUGCUUCCCUUUACAAUCCUGUUGUUUCACCUAACAGUUCUGUUGCUUUGCCUUAGAGUCCUGUUGCUUCAUUUUACAAUCCUGUUGCUUUACUUAACAGUCCUGUUGGUUCACUUUAACAGUUUUGGUGCUUUCCUUUAACAGUCCUGUUUCUAUACUUGACAGUCCUGUUGUUUAACCUAACAGUCAUGUUGCUUCACUUUACAGUCUGUAUGCUUUACUUUACAGUCCUGUUGCUUUACUUUACAGUCCUGUUGCUUCACUUUACAGUCAUGUUGCUUUACUUUACAGUCUUGUUGCUUUACUUUACAGUUAUGUUGUUUAACUUUACAGUCUUGUUUCUUCACUUUAACAGUCUUGGUGCUUUCAGUUAAGCCAGUUUUUCUGCAUGGUACUUAAUAAAUAAUAUUCAAAACAUUGGUGUUACUGGUACCAAAGAAACCCAACGGUUGGCCAUGUAAACGUAAGAAUAUACCAGGUGGACUGUAAAGUAAAGUGAACCAACGUAACAAUGCCUGACCACAUCUGCAACUCAGCAUAUAUCAAUGCUUGGGUUUUCUACUAACAGGUAAUUGUGCCACAACUCGAGUGAAGUAGAAUUUACAGGUGUCCCUAAUAACAAAUAACUACACAUUCUUCAAUAGCUGACAUAUGACCUUUGGCCCUUCUUUCUGACCUUUGAAUUAAUAAACAUUUCGCAAACCCUUCUUUCUGACCUUUGAAUUAAUAAACAUCACAUAGUUCAAGCAAUAUAUAUCAUCUCAAAGACAAAUCACACUACUACUACUAUACUUUUGGAGAAAAGCAAUAUGUCAACACUGCCUUGUUCCCUUUUGGUUCCAAUAAUGUCAUCCAUUUGGACGCACUGAGAAAACACCUUAUAUACUUAUGAAAAGGUACAGUCUCUUUAUAUUAGGGUACACAUAUAGUACCAGUCAACAGUUUGGACACACCUACUCAUUGCAGAAUUUUUAUUUUCUACAUUGUAUAAUAAUAUUUAAGACAUCAAAACUAUGAAAUAACACAUACGGGAAUCAUGUAGCAACCCAAAAAAGUGUUAAACAAAUCAAAAUAUAUAUAUUUUUUUAUAUUUGAGAUUCUUCAAAGUAGCCACCCUUUGCCUUGAUGGAAGCUUUGCACACACUUUUGACUUUUGACUGGUACUAUUUAUACAUUCAUACUCUUCCUCUUUUCAAACUUCUCAAGUUCUGCUGUGAAAAUGGUGUUAGCUACGAGCUACUCAAUAUAUAUAUUUAUAGGACCCAUACAACCUCAUACAAGUUCCCAAACAUGUCAAUCACAAAAUAUCAAUUAGCGAAAUUUCCAAUAGCUCAAUAGGACUAAAAAUCCAGCUGUUCUUCUUGUUCUCAUUUAUACAGUUAUAAAGUUAUUUCAAUAGAAGUUUAGUUGUUAAUACAUGCUUUGUCUUUUUCCUUUCCUUUUCUCUUUCCAAUAAACAUAUGUAUGUUUCUAUCAGCAGUCAGUCAUGCAUUUCGUUGAAGAAAACAAAUACAGAUACAUCAUGCCAGCUGUCCACGUAAUAUAUAUAUAUAUAAAUAAAGUACAUUUAAAACUACUUCAUAAACACGACAGUACAUUAUUCACUGAUUGAGAGAAAAAAAAGUGCUCCAUAGCCCUGACUAAAUAUAACAAUCAACACUAACAGGUAAAGUGCUGACAAAACUGUGGAGAUAAGACAUUUGAUAAGAAUUUCAAAUGCUAUUCUAGAACAGAGAUUAAAGUGUUCCGGAAUGUCUUUGUCUGU